GCUUACGGCCAUACCAGCCUGGGUACGCCCGAUCUCGUCUGAUCUCGGAAGCUAAGCAGGGUCGGGCCUGGUUAGUACUUGGAUGGGGUACAGCCUGGGAAUACCAGGUGCUGUAAGCA
RNAcentral lists this ribosomal RNA (119 nucleotides) under Salmo salar (Atlantic salmon). The record is from RNAcentral. Lineage: Eukaryota; Metazoa; Chordata; Actinopteri; Salmoniformes; Salmonidae.